This 253-nucleotide ribosomal RNA is filed under the name uncultured bacterium. Its description in RNAcentral is "partial 16S ribosomal RNA". It matches the Rfam family "Bacterial small subunit ribosomal RNA", at positions 524 to 776 of the family's 1533-position model. The record is from RNAcentral.
UACGGAGGGUGCAAGCGUUGUCCGGAUUUAUUGGGUUUAAAGGGUGCGUAGGCGGCCUUUUAAGUCAGUGGUGAAAGCCCGCGGCUCAACCGCGGAACUGCCAUUGAUACUGGAAGGCUUGAGUACAGACGAGGUAGGCGGAAUUGAAGAUGUAGCGGUGAAAUGCUUAGAUAUCUUCAAGAACACCGAUUGCGUAGGCAGCUUACUAGGCUGUAACUGACGCUGAGGCACGAAAGCGUGGGGAGCGAACGGG